UACACCUGUAUAGCUAACUGCCUACUAGCUAGAUACACUUUUACAGCUAACUCUACUAGCCAGGUACUCAUAUACAACUCUUUACUACCAAAGUGUACAGCUAACUGAGAUUUGUUCUCUAUUAUACCUUGGAUCAGUCUUGUUUUCAUGUUGGUUUUUCUGUAGGUGUAUGGGACGGUUUCACCAAGCUGAGAGCUGAGUUCUCCCCUCAGGCUGGUGGCCACACCUACUUCCUGCCCUGGCAGCGCUACUUCCUGCGGGUGGUGGAGCAGGAGCUCCAGGCUGUGUCGUCAUGCCAACUGGGUGUUCCGUACUUCGAGUGGACGGUCGACUCUGGGGAUCUUUUGACCUCAGCUGUCUGGCAGGCCGAGAUUUUUGGAGGAGACGGAGAGAGAGAGGGGAAUGGCGAGAGGGAAAGGGAUGAAGAGAGGGAUAGAGCGAGUGAGGGGGAUGGAGAGCAAGAGAGCAACUCUGUCUCAGGCUGUGUCCCCCACCACUCCUUCCAGGGCUUGUCUGCACGGUUCCACUGGUCCCCCUGUCUACGACGGAGCUUCAACACCUCGGUGUCUGUGCCUGACGCGGUGAGCGUCCAGAGGCUACUGUCCCAGGGAAACUUCCUGUCGUUCUCCCAGGCUCUGCAGGGGCUGUCUGGGCUAUUUAGGCUCUGGGUGGGGGGCCACAUGGCCUCUCCUCUGGCCGCCUAUGACCCCCUCUACCUCUCACACGCCGCUUUCAUCGACAAGCUCUGGACACACUGGCAGGACAGGCACAGAGACGUGCACACUCAUGAAGAAGCUCAUGGGCACACUCACCUACACACCCAGUACCCGGUGAGGCAGCGCCACGUCAAGAUGAAGCCGUUCGGCAUUGCUCCUGAUGAUGUGAUGUCUUCACGGGAACAACUGUGUGUGGUGUAUGUACCCAUAACCCUCGGAGCUCCCUGCAAUGUGACAUCAUCACUCCUUGCCGAAAGAGGGAAGGGCCGCCACAGAGGAGCGAAAGACACUGCCAGCUAUCACAGAAAGAGAC
RNAcentral lists this long non-coding RNA (1029 nucleotides) under Salmo salar (Atlantic salmon). RNAcentral describes it as "lncRNA (ENSSSAG00000112603.1)". The record is from RNAcentral. Lineage: Eukaryota; Metazoa; Chordata; Actinopteri; Salmoniformes; Salmonidae.